RNAcentral lists this ribosomal RNA (497 nucleotides) under uncultured bacterium. Its description in RNAcentral is "partial 16S ribosomal RNA". It matches the Rfam family "Bacterial small subunit ribosomal RNA", at positions 28 to 507 of the family's 1533-position model. The record is from RNAcentral.
GAUGAACGCUGGCGGCGUGCCUAAUACAUGCAAGUCGAGCGAACGGACGAGAAGCUUGCUUCUCUGAUGUUAGCGGCGGACGGGUGAGUAACACGUGGAUAACCUACCUAUAAGACUGGGAUAACUUCGGGAAACCGUAGCUAAUACCGGAUAAUAUUUUGAACCGCAUGGUUCAAAAGUGAAAGACGGUCAUGCUGUCACUUAUAGAUGGAUCCGCGCUGCAUUAGCUAGUUGGUAAGGUAACGGCUUACCAAGGCAACGAUGCAUAGCCGACCUGAGAGGGUGAUCGGCCACACUGGAACUGAGACACGGUCCAGACUCCUACGGGAGGCAGCAGUAGGGAAUCUUCCGCAAAGGGCGAAAGCCUGACGGAGCAACGCCGCGUGAGUGAUGAAGGUCUUCGGAUCGUAAAACUCUGUUAUUAGGGAAGAACAUAUGUGUAAGUAACUGUGCACAUCUUGACGGUACCUAAUCAGAAAGCCACGGCUAACUACGUG